RNAcentral lists this ribosomal RNA (394 nucleotides) under uncultured bacterium. Its description in RNAcentral is "bacterial SSU rRNA". It matches the Rfam family "Bacterial small subunit ribosomal RNA", at positions 110 to 518 of the family's 1533-position model. The record is from RNAcentral.
GUAACACCGUGAGUAACCUGCCCUCCUCUUCGGGAUGACCGCCGGAAACGGUGGCGUAAUACCGGAUAUGAAUGCCUGCCGCAUGGUGGGUGUUGGAAAGAUUUAUCGGUGGGGGAUGGGACUCGCGGCCUAUCAGUUUGUUGGUGAGGGUAAUGGCUCACCAAGGCGGUGACGGGUAGCCGGCCUGAGAGGGCGACCGGCCACACUGGGACUGAGACACGGCCCAGACUCCUACGGGAGGCAGCAGUGGGGAAUAUUGGACAAUGGGGGAAACCCUGAAUCCAGCGACGCCGCGUGAGUGAAGAAGUAUUUCGGUAUGUAAAGCUCUAUCAGCAGGGAAGAAAAUGACGGUACCUGACUAAGAAGCCCCGGCUAACUACGUGCCAGCAGCCGC